CCUGGGAACUGCGUUNUGAACUGGGUGACUAGAGUGUGUCAGAGGGAGGUAGAAUUCCACGUGUAGCAGUGAAAUGCGUAGAGAUGUGGAGGAAUACCGAUGGCGAAGGCAGCNUCCUGGGAUAACACUGACGUUCAUGCCCGAAAGCGUGGGUAGCAAACAGGAUUAGAUACCCUGGUAGUCCACGCCCUAAACGAUGUCGAUUAGCUGUUGGGCAGCAUGACUGCUUAGUAGCGAAGCUAACGCGUGAAAUCGACCGCCUGGGGAGUACGGUCGCAAGAUUAAAACUCAAAGGAAUUGACGGGGACCCGCACAAGCGGUGGAUGAUGUGGAUUAAUUCGAUGCAACGCGAAGAACCUUACCUGGUCUUGACAUGUGCGGAACCCUCCAGAGACGGAGGGGUGCCUUCGGGAGCCGUAACACAGGUGCUGCAUGGCUGUCGUCAGCUCGUGUCGUGAGAUGUUGGGUUAAGUCCCGCAACGAGCGCAACCCUUGUCAUUAGUUGCCAUCAUUAAGUUGGGCACUCUAAUGAGACUGCCGGUGACAAGCCGGAGGAAGGUGGGGAUGGCGUCAAGUCCUCAUGGCCCUUAUGACCAGGGCUUCACACGUCAUACAAUGGUCGGUACAGAGGGUAGCCAAGCCGCGAGGUGGAGCCAAUCUCACAAAACCGAUCGUAGUCCGGAUUGCACUCUGCAACACGA
This 701-nucleotide ribosomal RNA is filed under the name uncultured bacterium. Its description in RNAcentral is "bacterial SSU rRNA". It matches the Rfam family "Bacterial small subunit ribosomal RNA", at positions 613 to 1315 of the family's 1533-position model. The record is from RNAcentral.